CCUACGGGAGGCAGCAGUGGGGAAUAUUGGGCAAUGGGCGCAAGCCUGACCCAGCAACGCCGCGUGAAGGCAGAAGGCUUUCGGGUUGUAAACUUCUUUUCUGGGGGACGACCAAAUGACGGUACCCCAGGACUCAGCCACGGCUAACUACUUGCCAGCGGCCGCGGUAAUACGUAGGUGGCAAGCGUUAUCCGGAUGUAUUGGGGGUAAAGGGCGUGUAGGCGGGAAUGCAAGUCAGAUGUGAAAACUCAGGGCACAACCCUGAGCCUGCAUUUGAAACUGUGUUGCUUGAGUGCUGGAGAGGCAAUCGGAAUUCCGUGUGUAGCGGUGAAAUGCGUAGAUAUACGGAGGAACACCAGUGGCGAAGGCGGAUUGCUGGACAGUAACUGACGCUGAGGCGCGAAAGCGUGGGGAGCAAACAGGAUUAGAUACCCGUGUAGUC
Molecule: ribosomal RNA, 442 nt
Filed under: uncultured bacterium
Lineage: Bacteria
Description: partial 16S ribosomal RNA
Rfam family: Bacterial small subunit ribosomal RNA
Source: RNAcentral